AUUGAACGCUGGCGGCAGGCCUAACACAUGCAAGUCGAGCGGAUGAAGGGAGCUUGCUCCUGGAUUCAGCGGCGGACGGGUGAGUAAUGCCUAGGAAUCUGCCUUGUAGUGGGGGAUAACGUCCGGAAACGGGCGCUAAUACCGCAUACGUCCUGAUGGAGAAAGUAGGGGAUCUUCGGACCUCACGCUAUCAGAUGAGCCUAGGUCGGAUUAGCUAGUUGGUGGGGUAAAGGCCUACCAAGGCGACGAUCCGUAACUGGUCUGAGAGGAUGAUCAGUCACACUGGAACUGAGACACGGUCCAGACUCCUACGGGAGGCAGCAGUGGGGAAUAUUGGACAAUGGGCGAAAGCCUGAUCCAGCCAUGCCGCGUGUGUGAAGAAGGUCUUCGGAUUGUAAAGCACUUUAAGUUGGGAGGAAGGGCAGUAAGUUAAUACCUUGCUGUUUUGACGUUACCAACAGAAUAAGCACCGGCUAACUUCGUG
This 484-nucleotide ribosomal RNA is filed under the name uncultured bacterium. RNAcentral's name for it is "partial 16S ribosomal RNA". It matches the Rfam family "Bacterial small subunit ribosomal RNA", at positions 30 to 507 of the family's 1533-position model. The record is from RNAcentral.